This 249-nucleotide ribosomal RNA is filed under the name uncultured Planctomycetaceae bacterium. Its description in RNAcentral is "partial 16S ribosomal RNA". It matches the Rfam family "Bacterial small subunit ribosomal RNA", at positions 355 to 599 of the family's 1533-position model. The record is from RNAcentral. Lineage: Bacteria; Pseudomonadati; Planctomycetota; Planctomycetia; Planctomycetales; Planctomycetaceae.
UGGGGAAUCUUGCGCAAUGGGCGAAAGCCUGACGCAGCAACGCCGCGUGCGGGAUGAAGGCUUUCGGGUUGUAAACCGCUGUCAGUGGGGAGGAAAUUGAUGAGGGUACUCUCUCAUCAUUGACCUAUCCGCAGAGGAAGCAAGGGCUAAGUUCGUGCCAGCAGCCGCGGCAAGACGAACCUUGCUCACGUUAUUCGGAAUUACUGGGCUUAAAGGGUGCGUAGGCGGUGCAGAAGGUCGGGUGUGAAC